RNAcentral lists this ribosomal RNA (459 nucleotides) under uncultured bacterium. RNAcentral describes it as "partial 16S ribosomal RNA". It matches the Rfam family "Bacterial small subunit ribosomal RNA", at positions 338 to 795 of the family's 1533-position model. The record is from RNAcentral.
CCUACGUGGGCAGCAGUGAGGAAUAUUGGUCAAUGGACGAGAGUCUGAACCAGCCAGGUAGCGUGAAGGAUGACUGCCCUAUGGGUUGUAAACUUCUUUUAUAAAGGAAUAAAACGAGGCACGUGUGCCUUUUUGCAUGUACUUUAUGAAUAGGGAUCGGCUAACUCCGUGCCAGCAGCCGCGGUAAUACGGAGGAUCCGAGCGUUAUCCGGAUUUAUUGGGUUUAAAGGGAGCGUAGAUGGGUUGUUAAGUCAGUUGUGAAAGUUUGCGGCUCAACCGUAAAAUUGCAAUUGAUACUGGCAGUCUUGAGUACAGUUGAGGUAGGCGGAAUUCGUGGUGUAGCGGUGAAAUGCUUAGAUAUCACGAAGAACCCCGAUUGCGAAGGCAGCUUACUAAACUGUGACUGACAUUGAUGCUCGAAAGUGUGGGUAUCAAACAGGAUUAGAUACCCUAGUAGUC